Molecule: non-coding RNA, 30 nt
Filed under: Mus musculus (house mouse)
Lineage: Eukaryota; Metazoa; Chordata; Mammalia; Rodentia; Muridae
Source: RNAcentral
UUCNCUUGCAACUUGUGGCAGGGCUAUUGU